RNAcentral lists this ribosomal RNA (258 nucleotides) under uncultured bacterium. RNAcentral's name for it is "partial 16S ribosomal RNA". It matches the Rfam family "Bacterial small subunit ribosomal RNA", at positions 793 to 1055 of the family's 1533-position model. The record is from RNAcentral.
GUCCACGCCCUAAACGAUGUCUACUUGCUGUUGGGGGCAACCUUAGUAGCGAAGCUAACGCGAGAAGUAGACCGCCUGGGGAGUACGGUCGCAAGAUUAAAACUCAAAGGAAUUGACGGGGACCCGCACAAGCGGUGGAUGAUGUGGAUUAAUUCGAUGCAACGCGAAGAACCUUACCUGCUCUUGACAUGUACGGAAGACUACAGAGAUGUGGUUGUGCCUUCGGGAACCGUAACACAGGUGCUGCAUGGCUGUCGU